GACAGAGGCCCCGAGCGUUAGGCGGAAUCACUGGGCUUAAAGCGUGUGUAGGCGGGCCCGUAAGUGUCUUGUGAAAUCCCACGGCUCAACCGUGGAACUGCUGGGCAUACUGGGGGUCUUGGGCCAACUAGGGGCAGCCGGAACAAGCGGUGGAGCGGUGAAAUGCGUAGAUAUCGCUUGGAACGCCGAAGGUGAAAACAGGCUGCUGGGGUUGCGCCGACGCUGAGACACGAAAGCCAGGGGAGCAAACGGG
RNAcentral lists this ribosomal RNA (253 nucleotides) under uncultured bacterium. RNAcentral describes it as "partial 16S ribosomal RNA". It matches the Rfam family "Bacterial small subunit ribosomal RNA", at positions 524 to 776 of the family's 1533-position model. The record is from RNAcentral.